AGGGAAUUUUCGGCAAUGGGGGCAACCCUGACCGAGCAACGCCGCGUGAAGGAAGAAGGUCUUCGGAUUGUAAACUUCUGUUAUAGGGAAAGAACGAUAGGUAGAGGAAAUGCUACCUGUGUGACGGUACCCUAUGAGAAAGCCACGGCUAACUACGUGCCAGCAGCCGCGGUAAUACGUAGGUGGCAAGCGUUAUCCGGAAUUAUUGGGCGUAAAGAGUGAGUAGGCGGUUUCUUAAGUUUGGAGUGAAAAGCAGUUGCUUAACGACUGUUUGCUUCAAAAACUGGGAAGCUAGAGUGCAGGAGAGGUUAACGGAAUUCCAUGUGUAGCGGUGAAAUGCGUAGAUAUAUGGAGGAACACCAGUGGCGAAGGCGGUUAACUGGCCUGUGACUGACGCUCAGUCACGAAAGCGUGGGGAGCAAAU
RNAcentral lists this ribosomal RNA (424 nucleotides) under uncultured bacterium. Its description in RNAcentral is "bacterial SSU rRNA". It matches the Rfam family "Bacterial small subunit ribosomal RNA", at positions 356 to 773 of the family's 1533-position model. The record is from RNAcentral.